Mirounga angustirostris (Northern elephant seal) is the source of this 769-nucleotide RNA transcript. It is a transcript of the gene named large ribosomal subunit protein uL2-like, with no coding region annotated. Lineage: Eukaryota; Metazoa; Chordata; Mammalia; Carnivora; Phocidae. The record is from RefSeq and is a predicted model, not a curated record. The transcript has a single exon.
CUCGGCAGCAGACGGCCAUGGGCCGCGUCAUCCGUGGACAGAGAAAGGGCGCCAGUUCGGUGUUCCGCGCGCACGUGAAGCACCGCAAGGGCGCCGCGCGUCUGUGCACGGUGGACUUGGCCGAGCCGCACAGCUACAUCAAGGGCAUCGUGAAGGACAUCAUCCACGACCCGGGCCGCGGUGCACCCCUUGCCAAGGUCGUCUUCCGGGAUCCGUACAGGUUUAAGAAGCGGACAGAGCUGUUGAUCGCCGCCGAGGGCAUCCACAGCGGCCAGCUCAACAUAGGCGAUGUGCUCGCGGUGGGCACUACGCCUGAGGGCACUAUCGUGUGCUGUCUGGAAGAGAAGCCUGGUGACCAGGGCAAGUUGGCUCGAGCCUCUGGAAACCAUGCCACGGUCAUCCCCCACAACCCAGAGACCAAGAAGAACCGAGUGAAGCCGCCCUCAGGCUCAAAGAAGGUCGUUUCUUCAGCCAACAGAGCUGUGGUCGUGUGGUGGCUGGAGGUGGCCGCAUUGACCAGCCCAUUCUGAAGGCUGGCCGUGCCUACCACAAGUAUAAGGCAAAGAGGAAUUGCUGGCCACGUGUGCGGGGUGUGGCCGUAAACCCUGUGGAGCUUCCUUUUGGAGGUGGCAACCACCUGCACACGGGCAAACCUUCUGCUAUCCGCGGAGAUGCCCCUGCUGGCCACAAAGUGGGUCUUACUGCUGCCCGCGGGACCGGGCGUCUCCGCACAGCCAAGCCUGUGCAGGAGAGGGAGAACUUGGGUUGA